This is a long non-coding RNA of Empidonax traillii (willow flycatcher), 1478 nucleotides long. RefSeq lists it as uncharacterized. NCBI's taxonomy places the organism in Eukaryota, Metazoa, Chordata, Aves, Passeriformes, Tyrannidae. The record is from RefSeq and is a predicted model, not a curated record. The transcript has 3 exons.
UAUUUAAAUCCAGAUCUUUAUUAAUAAAUAACAGUAACUAGUAGGCCCACCAAAAAAAGUAUGUGAAUGUUACUAGCAAAUUUUUUACAAUUCCAUUUCAGACACUGCAAACCACAAAAUUGCCACAUACGUAUUUUCAAAAAUCAGCAGACCAAAGGCUUUACCUGAGAAAGGCUCUAACCAGAUCAGAACUUGAUAGCAGGCUCUUUGGCCCUAUAAAUAGCACAUCCCUGUGUCUGUGGGUGGGACUAAGGAAUCCUCUUUUCCUGGUGGGCUGAGCUGGAGAUGAGGCUUUUUCCUUCUGCCCUUCUCAUCAGCAGUCCAUUAGCAACCGUCCAAAAGUGAGCCUCAUUUAGGCAGGUUAAAGCCUCUGAUGCCUUCAUAGUUGCUACAAAUUAGCAAAUUAGGUGAUGUAAGGGGGGAAGAAGGGCCAAAAUAAUUAUAGAUACCAGGGUGGUUUUGUUUGGUUUUGUUCUUUCAGGAAAGCCUAAUUAUUACAGAAGCAAUUUCCCUUCAAGGCAAUACUACUGCCAGAUUCAAGAAUCCUUACAGGAGACAGCGACUCUUGAAAAUCCAGGCUUGGAGCUGCUGUUCUGACGGUUGGCUGAACCAAGGCAGAAAAAAGCACUGACCAGGAUUUAUAACGUGGCCUUAAUGUCCCAAAAGCCUGAGGCAAAAGAGAAGAGUGGAACCCCUAAACUGAGCAUAAUUUAGUAAUUUUCUGUGUGGCAGGCUUCUUAUUUUCUCUUAUUAAACGAACCCUGCUUUAAGUCUUUCAAGCUUUCUUACAUUUGAAAGGAAAAAGAUGAAGAAUGAGUGUCUAUUAAGGGAACAUAAAGUUAAGGAGAUGGGCAUUCUGCCUUAAUUUUCUUUAACAUAAGUGCCCUAAUUCCGUACUUCUACACUUGGCAGUGCUUUUGUAAUGAUACGGGCAACUGUGUGCAACUGUUUUAAAAGCAGUCACUUUGAAAGUAACAGGCCAUUAAAUCAGUAUAGAACUAUAAUAUAUUUGGGGCAAAUAUCACAACUCUUUUAAUUGAAGUUUCAUUUUUUAAUUUUUUUAAAUUUAUUCUCCAUGGAUCGUAAGAGUGCUGAAUAAACAGAAAUACCUUUGACACAAUGGCAUCAAUAGCUGUAGCACAUAACUGAAAUGUAAACGAGUUCUGACUCCUGUGCGGCUCUGCCUUUCCCAAGUAUCAAUAAUACAUGGAAUGGUACAUAAAGCUGUGGAAAGGGGACAGCUGGGUACACGGUGCUCACAAGUGGAGCACAGGAAAACCGGGCAGCGCUGCUUCUCUAAAAGCUAAGUACUAUCCUUCCAUCAAAAAAUAAUGCUUCUGUGUAUACAGUCUUCAUGGACUCAUCUCUCUGUGCAAUAAAGCUGGAUGCACUGGAGAGAUCAUUCCAGUAUUUCAUUUGGAGCUCUGAACUGUUGUGUGUAGGGGGCAGCUGUUUGCUUUACUACAGUACACUGCAGA